Molecule: small nucleolar RNA, 74 nt
Organism: Erinaceus europaeus (western European hedgehog)
Lineage: Eukaryota; Metazoa; Chordata; Mammalia; Eulipotyphla; Erinaceidae
Gene: SNORD27
Rfam family: Small nucleolar RNA SNORD27
About the family: U27 is a member of the C/D class of snoRNA which contain the C (UGAUGA) and D (CUGA) box motifs. U27 is encoded within the U22 snoRNA host gene (UHG) in mammals and is thought to act as a 2'-O-ribose methylation guide for ribosomal RNA. This family also contains several related snoRNAs from yeast and plants.
Source: Ensembl
AUUCCAUGAUGAAUAUAAAAAUGACAAGCAUAUGGCUGAAUUUAACGGUGAUGUCGUUUUUACUGCUGAGAUGU